GCAGUCGAACGCGAAAGUCCCGCAAGGGAUAAGUAGAGUGGCAAACGGGUGAGUAACACGUGGGUGACCUGCCUUCGAGCGGGGGAUAACGUCCCGAAAGGGACGCUAAUACCGCAUAACAUCCUGCCUUUUAAGAGGUGGAGAUCAAAGCCGGGGAUUCCCAAGAACCUGGCACUUGAAGAGGGGCCCGCGCCUGAUUAGCUAGUUGGUGGGGUAAUGGCUCACCAAGGCAACGAUCAGUAUCCGGCCUGAGAGGGCGGACGGACACACUGGGACUGAGACACGGCCCAGACUCCUACGGGAGGCAGCAGUGGGGAAUUGUUCGCAAUGGGCGCAAGCCUGACGACGCAACGCCGCGUGGAGGAUGAAGACCUUCGGGUCGUAAACUCCUUUCGAUCGAGACGAAUGGUUUUCGGGUGAACAAUCCGGAAAAGUGACGGUACCGAGAGAAGAAGCCCCGGCUAACUCCGUGCCAGCAGCCGCGGUAAUACGGGGGGGGCAAGCGUUGUUCGGAAUUACUGGGCGUAAAGGGCUCGUAGGUGGCCAACUAAGUCAGACGUGAAAUCCCUCAGCUUAACUGGGGAACUGCGUCUGAUACUGGAUGGCUUGAGUUUGGGAGAGGGAUGCGGAAUUCCAGGUGUAGCGGUGAAAUGCGUAGAUAUCUGGAGGAACACCGGUGGCGAAGGCGGCAUCCUGGACCAACACUGACACUGAGGAGCGAAAGCCAGGGGAGCAAACGGGAUUAGAUACCCCGGUAGUCCUGGCCCUAAACGAUGAAUGCUUGGUGUGUCGAGUAUCGAUCCCUGCCGUGCCG
This 814-nucleotide ribosomal RNA is filed under the name uncultured microorganism. RNAcentral describes it as "bacterial SSU rRNA". It matches the Rfam family "Bacterial small subunit ribosomal RNA", at positions 57 to 848 of the family's 1533-position model. The record is from RNAcentral.